Molecule: transfer RNA, 72 nt
Filed under: Camelus bactrianus (Bactrian camel)
Lineage: Eukaryota; Metazoa; Chordata; Mammalia; Artiodactyla; Camelidae
Also listed under: 1 other name
Rfam family: tRNA
About the family: Transfer RNA (tRNA) molecules are approximately 80 nucleotides in length.
Source: Rfam by way of RNAcentral
GGUAGUAUAGCUCAGAGGUAGAGCACAUGCUUGGUGGGCUCAGGGUCCUGGAUUCAAUCCCCAGUGCCUCCG